CGGAAGGGCAAGCGUUACUCGUAAGUAUUGGGCGUAAGGCGUCUGUAGGUGGUUCAUUUUGAACUAAUUUACCCGGUGACCUCUAUACACCUUAGCAGGUCACCCGGGUAGAGUAACUGGGUAGUCCAGAGGUGCAAGGUACCCUUGAUGGAGGGUGGAAUCCAAAAGAUCAAUGGGGACCCCAAGGCGAAGGCAUUGUCACCGGGACUUCUAACACUGAGAGACGAAAGCGUGGGGAGCAAACAGGAUU
RNAcentral lists this ribosomal RNA (250 nucleotides) under uncultured bacterium. Its description in RNAcentral is "partial 16S ribosomal RNA". It matches the Rfam family "Bacterial small subunit ribosomal RNA", at positions 527 to 779 of the family's 1533-position model. The record is from RNAcentral.